Molecule: non-coding RNA, 215 nt
Filed under: Peptostreptococcaceae bacterium
Lineage: Bacteria; Bacillati; Bacillota; Clostridia; Peptostreptococcales; Peptostreptococcaceae
Description: T-box sequence
Rfam family: T-box leader
About the family: Uncharged tRNA acts as the effector for transcription antitermination of genes in the T-box leader family. T-boxes are found upstream of many aminoacyl-tRNA synthetase genes and some amino acid biosynthetic genes usually in Gram-positive bacteria.
Source: RNAcentral
AGCAAAGCAAAGACGGAAAACAGUAAAGAAACUUCUUAUGCACAGCGAACCCGGGUCGGUGAAAAGCGGGUCAUAUCGUUUUUUGAAGAAACGCUCCCGAGCUUUUCAAUGGAAAAAAAGAGUACAUUGGAACGGACUUCCCCGUUACGGAAUCAUGAGUGGAGAAAUCACUUUCUCUAUAAAGGUGGCACCGCGGAUUAACUUUCGUCCUUUUU